AUGAUUUGUGGUUUUGGGGGGCACCGGGGGUGGUUUUGGGGGACACUCAGGUCAAUUUUUGGGGCACCCAGGGCCAUCUUUGGGGUUCCCUGGGGGUCUGAUUUUGGAGUCCCCAACAUUGGAGGUUUUCGGGGGCAUCCAGGGCCAUUUUGGGGGCACUCAAGGCCAUUUUUGGGGUUCCCAAAGGCAAUUCUGGGGUUCCCAGAGGGGUCAGGUUUUGGGAUCCCCAUGAUUUGUGGUUUUGGGGGCACCGGGGGUGGUUUUGUGGUGUCAAAACCAGCAUUUUGGGGGGACCCAGAGAUGUGGGUUUGGGUUUCUUGCUUUUGUGGUGCUUUUGGGGUGGGGGGGUCCUUUCUUGGGGGCACCCAGGACCAUUUUUGGGGUUCCCUGGGGGUCUGAUUUUGGAGUCCCCAACAUUAGAGGAUUUGGGGGGCAUCCAGGGCCAUUUUGGGGGCACUCAAGGCCAUUUUUGGGGUUCCCAAAGGCAAUUCUGGGGUUCCCAGAGGGGUCAGGUUUUGGGAUCCCCAUGAUUUGUGGUUUUGGGGGCACCGGGGGUGGUUUUGUGGUGUCAAAACCAGCAUUUUUGGGGGGCCCAGAGACGUGGCUUUGGGUUUCUUGUUUUUGGGGUGGUUUUGGGGUGGGAGGUCCCAUUUUUGGGGUGCAGAGGGGGGUCCUUACCCAGCUGGGAACGAGAGAAGUCGACGGACCACCCGACGCGGAACAGCGGCACCUCAGAGCUGCCCUCCUUCAGUGGGAGGUGCUGAGCAACCUGCACGUUUUGGGGAGAAAUUGGGGGAUUUGGGGACAAAAUUGCACCGUUUUGGGGUAUAAUUAUGGGAUAGGAAAAGGAAAAAGGGAAUGGAGUGGAAGCAAAAAGCUAAAAGCAUCAGGGAACGGUUCAAAAAGGUAGAAAGAAUCCUAAAAAGAUGUCCUAAAUUUGGGAUACGAAAGUUGGGUGGGUUUUAAGUCCCCAAAAAGCCCCAAAUUCGUGUGGAAAUGGGGUUCCAAACUGACCCAAAGCCCUAACCCCACAAAAGGUGACUCCAAAUCCCCCGAAAUGACCCCAAAAUGAUCCAGCAGGGCCCCCAAAGGACUCCAAGGACCCCCCUGUAUCAUCAUAACCCCUCCCCUAAGACCCUAAAGACCCCAAAAUGACCCUAAAAGUUCCCCAAGUCAUCCGAAAGCACCCUAACCCUCCCCCAAAUGCCCCCCCAAAAAUCCCAAAAUCACCCUA
This 1234-nucleotide long non-coding RNA is filed under the name Phasianus colchicus (ring-necked pheasant). RNAcentral's name for it is "lncRNA (ENSPCLG00000017878.1)". The record is from RNAcentral. Lineage: Eukaryota; Metazoa; Chordata; Aves; Galliformes; Phasianidae.